This 66-nucleotide transfer RNA is filed under the name Oligoryzomys stramineus. Its description in RNAcentral is "tRNA-Lys". Lineage: Eukaryota; Metazoa; Chordata; Mammalia; Rodentia; Cricetidae. The record is from RNAcentral.
CACUAUGAAGCUUUAAAGCGCUAACCUUUUAAGUUAGAGUCAGGAAAUACAUAUUUCCCAUAGUGA